This is an RNA transcript of Pocillopora verrucosa, 868 nucleotides long. RefSeq lists it as uncharacterized. Lineage: Eukaryota; Metazoa; Cnidaria; Anthozoa; Scleractinia; Pocilloporidae. The record is from RefSeq and is a predicted model, not a curated record.
AUAAGUCUUUUAUUAUUUGUAGCGUUUAUGUGCAACACUCGCUACAGUGCGUUGAUGCUUGAGUACUUCUUGAAGAUAGAGAGACCAUUUUAUCAAGUGUUUAUGGAUCUCUGCCUCAGGGAUGAAGAUAUAACACAGGGUACUCUUCCCACUCCUCCGAUUAUCAAGUGUGGUACUCACAAAGGGAAGCCAGAGAUUUAACAACACAAAGAACCGUAGAACGGGAAAGGAGUUCAGUCUUCGAGCUGUUCGACGGUCUAGCAACGGAGAUGUCUGAUGGAGUUUGAAGGGUCCACUCGUUUUGAGAUGGUAAAGAUGAAGAACACUGGAUUACGAAGAAUCAUAUCUCAUGUACUAGGAGAGAGUGCAAGAUCAACUCAAGUAGCAAAAGAAAUAUUCUUUGUCAGCAAGUUGUGCCUUAAAAAGUUUGUGUUCGCCUCAACACCAAUUGGCUCGCGUGAAAGCCUUGUACAAGUGAUUGAUGGUUGGCGUGACGUCAAUAAAUUAAAGACAAAGAAAGAUUAAGAAAGUCACUGAGAGUAGUACAGUUACAGCAAUGUGAAGGAUGACGAGAAGCGAUUUACACUCGUUGCACUUUAUUGCAGAAGCAACAUGGAAGCAAGUGAUGUUAAAUGUUGCCACCAACGCAAUAAAAGCAAAAAAAGAGAGAAUGGCUCUGACCAAAGCUGACUGUCUCUUGCUCUAAUGUUUGACAAUUUCUUUUUGUGUUGUAUUUUGUUUGAUUGCGCGUUUCUUUUUCACAAUUUUUUUGUUUUCAUCAAAAUAAUGCCCAUUUGUUAUUACUCAGUUGUACCAUAUUGAGCAAUGAAGGGAAAAUAAACCAAAUAAAUUGGACUUGCGAAAGAAA